GAUGAACGCUGGCGGCGUGCCUAAUACAUGCCAGUCGAGCGAACAGACGAGGAGCUUGCUCCUCUCACGUUAGCGGCGGACUGGUGAGUAACACGUUGAUAACCUACCUAUAAGACUGGGAUAACUGCGUGAAACCGGAGCUAAUACCGGAUAAUAUAUUGAACCGCAUGAUUCAAUAGUGAAUGACGGUUUUGCUGUCACUUAUAGAUGGAUCCGCGCCGCAUUAGCUAGUUGGUAAGGUAACGGCUUACCAAGGCGACAAUGCGUAGCCGACCUGAGAGGGUGAUCGGCAACACUGGACCUGAGAAACGGCCCAGACUCCUACGGGAGGCAGCAGUAGGGAAUCUUCCGCAAUGGGCGAAAGCCUGACGGAGCAACGCCGCGUGAGUGAUGAAGGUCUUCGGAUCGUAAAACUCUGUUAUUAGGGAAGAACAAAUGUGUAAGUAACUAUGCACGUCUUGACGGUACCUAAUCAGAAAGCCACGGCUAACUACGUG
RNAcentral lists this ribosomal RNA (497 nucleotides) under uncultured bacterium. Its description in RNAcentral is "partial 16S ribosomal RNA". It matches the Rfam family "Bacterial small subunit ribosomal RNA", at positions 28 to 507 of the family's 1533-position model. The record is from RNAcentral.